This 72-nucleotide transfer RNA is filed under the name Chloroflexota bacterium. RNAcentral describes it as "Chloroflexi bacterium tRNA-Thr". It matches the Rfam family "tRNA". From Rfam's summary of the family: Transfer RNA (tRNA) molecules are approximately 80 nucleotides in length. Their secondary structure includes four short double-helical elements and three loops (D, anti-codon, and T loops). Further hydrogen bonds mediate the characteristic L-shaped molecular structure. tRNAs have two regions of fundamental functional importance: the anti-codon, which is responsible for specific mRNA codon recognition, and the 3' end, to which the tRNAs corresponding amino acid is attached (by aminoacyl-tRNA synthetases). tRNAs cope with the degeneracy of the genetic code in two manners: having more than one tRNA (with a specific anti-codon) for a particular amino acid; and 'wobble' base-pairing, i.e. permitting non-standard base-pairing at the 3rd anti-codon position. The record is from RNAcentral. Lineage: Bacteria; Bacillati; Chloroflexota.
GCCGGUGUAGCUCAGGGGUAGAGCAGCUGUUUCGUAAACAGCUGGUCGUGAGUUCGAGUCUCACCGCCGGCU